Cyprinus carpio carpio is the source of this 880-nucleotide long non-coding RNA. Lineage: Eukaryota; Metazoa; Chordata; Actinopteri; Cypriniformes; Cyprinidae. The record is from Ensembl.
CACAUAUAUGUGAAGCACUGUUAAAUAUAUUGAAAUAUAUUUUGAAAAUCUAUUUUAAAAAUACAUAUGUUGCGAGUGUGUGUUACAUUAUAUUCAUGCCUCAAAUAACUUUUAAUCAAUGUGUUUUUGCAGUGCAGCAAUGCAUUUUGUUUCUACACUAUGUUUACCAUUUUUAAAGCUAUUAUUAUAUUAUAUUAUAUUAUAUUAUAUUAUAUUAUAUUAUAUUAUAUUAUAUUAUAUUAUAUAGAUCCUAUAUUCUAAUUCUAUUUAGGUCUACUAUCAACUUAAUAUGUUAUCAAGUGUCAGGACAAGUUUAUAAUUUUAUGUACUAUGUAAACGCUGUGUAAUGUGUUUGAUGGGCGCGCGCGUUGAACAUUCGACGCGCAUUUAAACUGUGGAGGGAGUUACCAUGGAAACGGGGCGGCAACUCAGCUGACAAGUAGCAAAUCUCUCCGUCUCUCACUGUUGUUUUUACUGCUUUCAGAAAUGGUUCAGUGUCAUGGGAAUAAGUCCGUUAGCAUCACAACCGUGAGCUAACAGAGGCUAACUAUAAGAGAGUUGGAGUGGACCUCUUGUUGAAGAACUUCUCCAGGCACUAUGAACCAUCUGACUAAUGCUGUCAUGAAACGCCAUGAAAAGGCAACUGCUGGACACCUGGGACAGGCCAUCAAUUCCAAGUUGGCGUCAAUUCCCUGUUAGAGUUUAGAGUUGUCUAAUAGAGAGGGUGAAGGAAGAACAUCCAAACCCUGCCCCUGCUUCCUUCAAGAUUUUUUAUGGAUUUAUAUAAUGAUGUUUUUUCGUAAAGUAAAGAGAGUGGCAAAAUUAACAUGACCCUACUUUGAUGUUUUGUUCUACAAAUUAAACUACACACACACUCCAA